UCCUGACUGACCGAUAGUGAACCAGUACCGUGAGGGAAAGGCGAAAAGAACCCCGGCGAGGGGAGUGAAAAAGAACCUGAAACCGUGUACGUACAAGCAGUGGGAGCCUCUUUAUGGGGUGACUGCGUACCUUUUGUAUAAUGGGUCAGCGACUUAUAUUCUGUAGCAAGGUUAACCGAAUAGGGGAGCCGAAGGGAAACCGAGUCUUAACUGGGCGUUAAGUUGCAGGGUAUAGACCCGAAACCCGGUGAUCUAGCCAUGGGCAGGUUGAAGGUUGGGUAACACUAACUGGAGGACCGAACCGACUAAUGUUGAAAAAUUAGCGGAUGACUUGUGGCUGGGGGUGAAAGGCCAAUCAAACCGGGAGAUAGCUGGUUCUCCCCGAAAGCUAUUUAGGUAGCGCCUCGUGAAUUCAUCUCCGGGGGUAGAGCACUGUUUCGGCAAGGGGGUCAUCCCGACUUACCAACCCGAUGCAAACUGCGAAUACCGGAGAAUGUUAUCACGGGAGACACACGGCGGGUGCUAACGUCCGUCGUGAAGAGGGAAACAACCCAGACCGCCAGCUAAGGUCCCAAAGUCAUGGUUAAGUGGGAAACGAUGUGGGAAGGCCCAGACAGCCAGGAUGUUGGCUUAGAAGCAGCCAUCAUUUAAAGAAAGCGUAAUAGCUCACUGGUCGAGUCGGCCUGCGCGGAAGAUGUAACGGGGCUAAACCAUG
RNAcentral lists this ribosomal RNA (715 nucleotides) under Escherichia coli. Its description in RNAcentral is "partial 23S ribosomal RNA". It matches the Rfam family "Bacterial large subunit ribosomal RNA", at positions 474 to 1191 of the family's 2925-position model. The record is from RNAcentral. Lineage: Bacteria; Pseudomonadati; Pseudomonadota; Gammaproteobacteria; Enterobacterales; Enterobacteriaceae.